Molecule: ribosomal RNA, 424 nt
Filed under: uncultured bacterium
Lineage: Bacteria
Description: partial 16S ribosomal RNA
Rfam family: Bacterial small subunit ribosomal RNA
Source: RNAcentral
AAUAUUUGACAAUGGGCGAAAGCCUGAUCCAGCCAUGCCGCGUGUGUGAAGAAGGUCUUCGGAUUGUCCAGCACUUUAAGUUGGGAGGAAGGGCAGUAAGUUAAUACCUUGCUGUUUUGACGUUACCGACAGAAUAAGCACCUGCUAACUUCGUGCCAGCAGCCGCGGUAAUACGAAGGGUGCAAGCGUUAAUCGGAAUUACUGGGCGUAAAGCGCGCGUAGGUGGUUCAGUAAGAUGGAAGUGAAAGCCCAGGGCUCAACCUGGGAACUGCUUUCAAAACUGGCAAGCUAGAGUAUGGCAGAGGGUGGUGGAAUUUCCUGUGUAGCGGUGAAAUGCGUAGAUAUAGGAAGGAACACCAGUGGCGAAGGCGACUACCUGGACUGAUACUGACACUGAGGUGCGAAAGCGUGGGGAGCAAACAGG